ACCAAAGUAUCAGAAGAAGAAAAAAAUGGCCAAAGUUGGUUUAUAUUAUAAAUAAAAGGAAAGAAAUAAAACAAAAUAGAAACUUCUGGGAUGAAUUUGGGAUGAUUAGAACAUACAAGCAAUUGGGAAGUAACUGAGAGAAUGGAAACAAACUCUCAACUUCUGAAUGAUUUGUUCUGAAGAUUAAAAAUAAUCUUACAGGUUCAUGUAGGAUAAAAAUUUUAUUUUUUAUUAGCUUCAUAAAACUCGUCUUUAAUCUUUAAACAUGAAAUGACUCUUCCAUGGAUUACAAAACUAAUAAUAAAUAACCACCAUAGUUUAAACACUGCAUGGGCUGAGACGGGCUGAUAUUAAAAAUCCCUCUGUUUCCAACACUUCAAGUUCAGCUGCCGAAGCCAGUUUUGAAGCAUAACCAACUCGGGAAAUGACAAGAACAUACAGUUCACACAAAAGCUAGAUGGAUCAAAGAAUUUUCAUAACUUUAAUAACUCAACAAACGGCUAGACUUACUACACUUGAGAUGAGAGUCCCGCGGCCCAGGCAAAGUAUUGACUGGGCAACUCAUGCUGAAUUUGAGAUGAGAAGAGGGCAUACAGAGGCUUGCCUUUUUUAUCAGUUUGCUGCAUCACGACUGUAGUACUGGUCCAGUGUCUUUGCAGGUAUACGGUGGAGAAGCUCACGGGGGAAGAUGCGGAGUAAUGUCCACGCCAAAUCUAGUGACUGGAAGAUGUUGCGGGUAUCAUAAGCCCCUUGAGCCACAAAUUUCCUCUCGAAUUUGUCUAGGAACUCCAGAUAAAGC
Vitis vinifera (wine grape) is the source of this 799-nucleotide long non-coding RNA. RefSeq lists it as uncharacterized. The transcript has 2 exons. The record is from RefSeq and is a predicted model, not a curated record. NCBI's taxonomy places the organism in Eukaryota, Viridiplantae, Streptophyta, Magnoliopsida, Vitales, Vitaceae.